RNAcentral lists this ribosomal RNA (263 nucleotides) under Gammaproteobacteria bacterium. Its description in RNAcentral is "partial 23S ribosomal RNA". It matches the Rfam family "Bacterial large subunit ribosomal RNA", at positions 2679 to 2925 of the family's 2925-position model. Lineage: Bacteria; Pseudomonadati; Pseudomonadota; Gammaproteobacteria. The record is from RNAcentral.
UAGUACGAGAGGACCGGAAUGGACACACCUCUGGUGUUUCGGUUAUGACGCCAGUCGUAUUGCCGAGUAGCUAUGUGUGGAAAGGAUAACCGCUGAAAGCAUCUAAGCGGGAAGCCCCUCCCAAGAUUAGGUCUCCCUGACAGUUUAACUGUCCUAAAGAUCCCUCGGAGACUACGAGGUUGAUAGGCACGGUGUGGAAGAGUAGUGAUACUUGAAGCUAACGUGUACUAAUUGAUCGUGAGGCUUGACCAUAUAACACCCAA